RNAcentral lists this ribosomal RNA (119 nucleotides) under Helianthus annuus (common sunflower). The record is from RNAcentral. Lineage: Eukaryota; Viridiplantae; Streptophyta; Magnoliopsida; Asterales; Asteraceae.
GGUUGCGAUCAUACCAGCACUAAUGCACCGGAUCCCAUCAGAACUCCGCAGUUAAGUGUGCUUGGGCGAGAGUAGUACUAGGAUGGGUGACCCCUGGGAAGUCCUCGUGUUGCAACCCC